UGGACCAGCAUCUGAUUUGUGUCAAUUAAAUCUUGGACAACUCUCUUUAAAUGCCAGCAUUUCUCAAUAUCAUGGCCUGGCAUAUCAGAACAGUACGCACACCUUAAAGAAUAAUCGAGAUUCCUUGGCGGUGGAUUUGAAAGCCUUCCUUGAAUUGGGCUUAAAACCUUCAACUUUCUCAACCUAUCAAACAAGCUAGCAUAUGACUCCCCAAGAGGUGUGAAUUGAUUUUUGACCGCCUUCUCCUUCUUAUACUCGGGC
This 261-nucleotide long non-coding RNA is filed under the name Capsicum annuum. RNAcentral's name for it is "long non-coding RNA (CANN_LNC003612)". Lineage: Eukaryota; Viridiplantae; Streptophyta; Magnoliopsida; Solanales; Solanaceae. The record is from RNAcentral.